GACGAACGCUGGCGGUGUGCUUAACACAUGCAAGUCGAACGGUAAGGCCCUUUCGGGGGUCCACGAGUGGCGAACGGGUGAGUAACACGUGAGUAACCUGCCCUCAUCUCUGGGAUAACAGUCGGAAUCGGUUGCUAAUACUGGAUAUGAGCUUGCAAGGCAUCUUGUGGGUUGGAAAGAUUUUUUUUGGUUGGGGAUGGACUCGCGGCCUAUCAGCUUGUUGGUGAGGUAGUGGCUCACCAAGGCUUCGACGGGUAGCCGGCCUGAGAGGGCGACCGGCCACAUUGGGACUGAGAUACGGCCCAAACUCCUACGGGAGGCAGCAGUGGGGAAUAUUGCACAAUGGACGGAAGUCUGAUGCAGCAACGCCGCGUGCGGGAUGACGGCCUUCGGGUUGUAAACCGCUUUCAAUUGUGACGAAGCUUUUUUGUGACGGUAGCAGUAGAAGAAGCACCGGCUAACUACGUG
This 468-nucleotide ribosomal RNA is filed under the name uncultured bacterium. RNAcentral's name for it is "partial 16S ribosomal RNA". It matches the Rfam family "Bacterial small subunit ribosomal RNA", at positions 28 to 507 of the family's 1533-position model. The record is from RNAcentral.